RNAcentral lists this long non-coding RNA (2538 nucleotides) under Bemisia tabaci. RNAcentral's name for it is "lncRNA ENSSSA3NGG003410". The record is from RNAcentral. Lineage: Eukaryota; Metazoa; Arthropoda; Insecta; Hemiptera; Aleyrodidae.
CUUAAUCCAGCAUUCGUCCGUGGUUUACGAUGAGGUGCGUGCUAAUUUGUGUCUAGUGGUUGAAAAGAAUCCAAAUUCGUGAUGAGUCGAUUCACGCUCACGAUAAUAGGGCUCCUUAUUUUCCCGAGCGUGCUCUCGUCCAGAGAAGAAAGACUGCUCCAAACGCCAUCCAAAGAGACUCUGGAACGAACAUGUCCUUGUUUGCCCGUCGAAGUAUGCCAGAAACACCAAGGCACAGGCGGUAAUUCAGGAUGGUCGGGCUUGAUUCCAGUGUGCGAGGACUUGAGCCUGGUGCGCUGCUGCGGGGCUCCACCUAUGAAAAAAGUGAGUUAUCCCGGCCAGUUAAUACAAAAUGCCCGUUUAGAUUUCAGCCACAAUCCCAGUGAUGAAAUAAUCCGUCAUACAAGGGACACGCUGAGCGACAAGGAGUCCUUGAUGAAGAAGUUGGACGAAACCAAAGGCUUCAAGAAACAAGAUCUGAGCGAACUUAAAGGCAAAAUACGGCCACGCAGAGCUAUUGACGAUGAUGAAGCUGUUGUCACAACUCAAAUGAGUGAUGCAAAAGUUAAUGUGACAGUUAUGUUGCAUGCAGUCAAUGAAACCAAAAUUCAGUCAGAGAGCGAGACGAAAAAUGCACCCGAAGUCAUCGUUGAACAGGAAAAGCAUCCAGUGAAUGAUAUGAAAAGUGGAGUGACACCCAUCACCGGAGGAGAGGUUUCGUCAGUCACUGGAAUGGAAAGUGACGUGGUUCCCACCACAGAGCCAGAGCUGCAUUCAACGAUUUUAGAAAAGAGUGAAGGGACAGUCUCAGCACAGCAGGAAGUGCAAAUGAACGAUGUUUUAGAGAAAGCAGCUGCAGUUACUACUGAGCAAGUGAUGCACUCAACUAGUGAUAUGAAGAAUGAGAUGGCAGCCAACGUUGAGUCAGGGAUACAAGAAAAAAGUGAAGCAACAGUCGUUCCUGAAGGAAGUACCCAGUCAGGUAACGUGAUGACGAAUGGAGUUGAUGUUACCACGGAGAAGGAGAUGCGUCUUAUCGAAGAGGCGAAGAAUGAGACUGUAAGUAUGAUCGCUCCAGAAAUGCGCAUGGUCAACGAAAUGGGAAGUGAAGGUGCAUCCACAACCGAACAACAAAUUCCUUCAGAAUCUGAAAAGGUCAACGGAGCAUCAUCCAUCUCAGGACUCGUUAUGAAUGAUGAAGUUGUAACUGCAAAUGUCACCUCGUCCGAAAAUGAAAUAAAAAUUCAAGCUACAGACAACUCAACACAAAAUGGGAGCUCUGAUGACAGUUCUACAGCACGUCAGGAAAUUUCGACGCAGGAUUUGAGUUCUAAAUCCCUCGAAGAGGUCACCACUGAAAAUUCUGCCAAGUUGUCAACUGAAUCUGUUGAAAUGACAUCAUCCAGCUCAUCAGAUAUUAGCACCACGAUUUUGAGUUCAAGUGCACCAAAUGAUGAAUCAUCGGCAAAUCGUGAAAUGAAUGAGCAAAGUCCGGCAAAAAUUGACUCAGUGAGUAAAGUUGCGACCCUUUCACCCUUAAUGGACAGUAGCUCUGUCAAGGCAGAUUCUUCGAAUGUGAAUGUAAGCAGCACAGAGAGAAGUAUUCAAGCUACAACUCAGGACAAGUCAAUCUCAACCAGUAAAACUUUCCCCAUCGAUUUUAGUAAGGUGAAAAAGUCUAAAUAUUUGGAUGUUAAAGAAGAGGUAGAAUCUAAAGUUGCUGUUGUGUAUGCAAAACCUGCAAGCGCCGAGGAGGAGAAAAUAAACGAGGAACUGAAGAAGAAAUUGGAUUCCAUGAUCCGAUCCAGUUUGAACACGACCGAUGGACCAAGUCAUGAUGAUGAUCGCCAUCAUAUCCAGCACAUUCCGUUGGGAAAACGUUUGAUAAUUUACAAAAAAAUAAAACCGUCCGAUAAGAAAGCCAUCAAGGAAUUGAUUUACGACAGCUUACAAACGGCAAAUCAAACUGAUCGCGCCUCUGGUGCACUUAAUGAAACAGUUUCGAGUGCUACUCCACCAGCAGAUAAUUCAACAAAUACUGUUAAAGAAGCCACUGAGGCAUCUAAAGUUUCAGAGACCAAGUCGAACCCAGAGAAAGAUUCUGAUGAUACUUUGGAGGCUGCUCAAAGUUCGCAAGUUCCAGUCUACGUAUUAAGUCCAGGUGCCGCAAGUAGUUCACCUGCUGAGGCAGCCGAGGAGGAACAUUCAGCAAAAAUUGACUUCGUUAAAAAGGGUUCAGGGGCACCAUCUAAUUUUGCAAGCAGGUUUUCACCCCCUGGUGUUGGAGUUAAGUUGGCAGAUACUCCGCAUACAUCGACGGAGCACACAAACCGUCCUACUGCUAACAGAGGACGAAUAAAGUUCCAAGAAAGUAUCAUAAAUGAUCAGCUGAAGGAGAAAAAAGCUGCUGCAGAAAGAGGAUAUGUAAGUAGUACGAUUGACACAGUGUCGACCGACAUCUCUGUAAUCAUCCAACUAGGAAAAAUUUCAAUCGACCCUCUGUGGGAUCAGUCAUUCCUUCGAACAAUUCUCCGGUAG